Molecule: long non-coding RNA, 40340 nt
Filed under: Selaginella moellendorffii
Lineage: Eukaryota; Viridiplantae; Streptophyta; Lycopodiopsida; Selaginellales; Selaginellaceae
Description: long non-coding RNA (SMOE_LNC001410)
Source: RNAcentral
AGAGAGAGAGAGAGAGAGAGUCGUGUUCUUUGAGAACCAUGUAGGAUCGCACUGUGUCAAGCAUUCUUUAUUUGUUUCGCUCGCAAAUUGCUUCCUCGCCAAUGCUCCCAAAUGCCCGGAUUUCUCUGCCAUUGCUCCUGCUGCUACUGCUCCUGGAAGGAAGCCAAAGAUCUCCUGGCGGCGGCGAUGGAGGAAUCCUGGCGGCGCACUCCCUGGACUUGUGGACGAUCCGAGGUAAGCUGUCCGAGGUGACCAAGACCCUCGCGGCCAUCACGCAGCUCAGCCGCAACCUCCAGCAGUCCUCUACAUGGUGGCAGCUCUCAAACGUGGACUGGCACCCGGAGGCGCUGUGGCGAUUCCUGCUGCUCGGCCCCCCUGCCGCCGGGAUCCUGCCAAACUCCUCCUGGGGCCCCGACCAAGAGCUCGAGCUCCUGCGACGAGGCGGCCUGGCCGCGACCCGAGAAGCCGCGGUGGCCGAGUACACCACCGAGACUGGCCGCCCCGGGACCGGGAGGAUCCGGAUGACAACUUGGGUGCUCAUGUACAACUGCAUCACUCCGGACUGCGACAUCGUCGCGCCGGUGAUCCUCCUGCAAGGUGCUGGUGGCGAUGGUCAGUCGCCCACCAAGCUCAACUACGGUACCUUGUGGCAGCAGUUGUUCUUCGCUGUCUCCUCCUCUGUGGCUCCAGUCUUGCUCAGCAGCAGCACCUCGGACAUCAUCAACAGGACCCGGCUCGUCGCCACGAACCGGUCAAACCUGCAGCUCCGGGUGGUGCGCGAAGGCCUGGAGCAGUGCAACGAAGGCAUCGCCAUCGGACGAUCACCCCUGGACGCGGCCUACAAAGUUCCUCCGGGGAUCUGCUACGAGCUCGUCCAGAGCCUCAAGGAGGGGCUCAACCAGACGCGGAUGCUGGUGGUGCUCCAGAACCAGCCGCACGAGAUCACCUGGCCUUAUACCCGGCGUCCACUCCACGAGUGCUCCACCGCGCCGGUUCUCACCAAGAACCUCGAGGAGUUCCGCGGCUGCGCCUUCUCCGCCACCGAGAGGCGCUACUAUUGCACCAACUUCACGAUGAAGGACUACGCCGACACCCCCUGCCGUGGGAACAAGAUCGCCAUCGCCCUCUCCAACUUCCAGCUGGCCUACAGCUACCUCCAUGGCCGGACCUCCACCAAAAACUUAACGGACUCGUUCGAGCUCGUGAACGAUACCGCGCCUGGAGCUCCAUGCAACACCAGCGGCCGGACGAAGGCCGCCAUCUACAGCGUCCAUCACAACGGCUUCGAUCUCUCGAACAGCAUCUGGGAGGACACGAGCGGUUCCCGGACGGAGGAGCUCGAGCUGGGACGUCCGGACGGGAGCUUCUGCUUCUACGGCCUCGGCUCGGACGUGGCGGAGAAGAGUCUGUCGUAUCUCCGGCGCUGCAACAUCACCAUCGCCUUGAACACCAGCGUUCCCAGGUGUGAUAUCACUGCUCUCGACAUCGAUCUCCUCAACGUGAUGUUCAAUGACACGGUCACGGCCUACGCGGACGAGCACAACACCGCCUUCAACAUGGACCGGGGGCCCUCCACGGAUCUCUUCACGGCCUGGGCGGCGCUCGUCACCGCUGCGGUCUCGGUGGUGACCGCCACCGUGCCAUGCACCAACCUGGAGCUCGAGUACCUGGCCCGCUUCGUCUACCCGAAGAAGCACGAGAACCUCAAGGUCCUCAAGUUCUCGGGGCUGGCCGCCAUGAACGUCGCGUUUGGGAUGAUCCUGUACGCCCCCAUCUUCGCCAUGAUCCUGAGCGAGUCCAAGCGCUCGGAGUCGUACCACACCUGGUCGCUCUUCACCAACGAUGUCAAGGUGAACACCUUCGGCACCCAGCUCCGCAGCGUCUUCAUCGUCGAGGGCGAGUCCAUCUACAAGUCCCAGAUACUGUGGAUCUUCGUCGUCGUCUGCGCUAUCUCGUUCCCUCUCAUCGUGAUCAUCACGCUCCGCCGCUGCUACAAGGUGUUCUACCGCCGGAAGCUGCUGCUGGACGAGCGUCGCAUGACGUAUGGAGAUGACAAAACGAUGAGCAACGCCGAGGGCAGGGAGCUGAGCAUCAAAGCCAUCGAGAUGGGCCUGUCCGAGUUCGUGAGACUUAAGGAGCAGCUCAAACCAAGCAACCGGCAGAAGGACUUUUAAAAUCCAACACAUACCCUUUAAAACCGCGGAGGCAAAAUCUUUUCUAGGCCAACACCGGUGUUGGCAAGUCACGCAAAGGGAAGCCAGUCACCACUAUUUCUUGCCGUGGAAGCUGAUACGAUAUGCCAAGAUCCUCCAUUUGUUGCCGCAUGUAUAGAAGCAUAUUGCUGCGCCUUUGGAAUCGCUCGCCACCUUCCUGGAGUGAUAGAAAAGAGUUUGCUUAGAGAAAGAGAGAGGACAAAAGUAAAACCGGGAUAGAGGACCUGGAAGUUGAGGUGAUGCUGCAUCCAAAGUGCCAUCCUCAUCCUGUUGCUGUUCUCGAUGUCUUUGCAGACGAUCCGAAAGUCAGGAUACCAAAACUGAGGAAGGCUUUCGAUGUAGCGUUGCAUCCUGUCCUUCAGGAAACCGAGCUUCUCAACCGGAGUGUUGGCGCUAACUUGGAACUCGAUCGCAUCCCACUGGUCAGGGCUGCGAUGGAAGUUUGACAGCGGCUUGGAUGCGAGAACCGAGGUCGGGUAGUAAAUCUUCUCGUUCGAGCCUCUGCGGCGAAAAGCAGAAGCAAAAUUCAAUCACACUUCAAGGAUAAAGCGACAGAAUACGUACGUGAGAAAAAUUGUGUUGAGCACAUUCAUUUCCUGCAAAAACUUUUUCUUUUCGUAAAAUGUUAAGAAAAGAAGUUGGAAAACGAAUACCUCGACCAACAAAGUCUGGCCAUCGACACAUACUCGAUCUCCAACGUCGUAAGGAUGCACAAUAAACAGAAAUAUCAACGCUUCGAACGUCCCCUUCGCCAUGUUGCCGAAAACAAAAACAGAAGGUAUGAAAAUGGAGGAGAAGAACACCAGCAGCUUGGAGGUGUCUACUCCGAGAAUAAGUAACCAAAUUAUAAAAAGCACCACCACCAACACCUGCAAAGAUAAAGAAGAAAACGUUAGAACAAAUGGAGAAGAAGAAAGAAGAAUCGAUCGACUUACAAAAUCAAAAACUCGAUGGAGCUUUGCAACAACGGUUUUGUUGUCACUCAAAGUGAGCGCAAGAGCCCUACGCUCCUUGUAGACACUGACGACCCAUUUCACGAGCGCCUUUUUGGAAAUAUGCCCCUGGUCUGUGAUCUCGAAAAGAGAAAAGGCCCUUGCUGCCUGUUCCUCUGGCAGAAAAUACAAGAAGUCCCUGAGUGUCAGGUACUUUUGCCCAGGCCUCGCCAUGUUAAAAAAAAUCUGCCACGAAAACAUUUCAGAAAAAUUGAGUUUCAAUUGUAAGAUACCUUUUUGGCGGCCGACCUUGCCUCAAUCUCGCUGUCGAUUUCGGUUUCCCCGUUUUGGGAGAGCAUGGACGAGUAAGUCGUCAUGUUUUUGCUUCGGAUCGUCUUCAUUAGCCUUCGGAGUGUCCAAGCGGACACCGUCUGUGAGAAACAAAGUUUAGCCAAACAAGAAAACAUGAAAAUCGUUUUAGCUUACUUGUGAUGUCAACUGCUGCAACCUGUUCUGCUCUAUCGGAACGGGACUCUUCGCGAUCAGAGGAACAGGCGUUUCUGGCUUCUUUUUAGGCGUGCCUGAAAAAAAUGAGAGACCGAGCCUCCUUUUCGCCGACUUGGAGGGUGUUUGUACGGGGUUUUCGACAUCUCCUUUAGCGAAAGCCCACUGAGAAGGGCUCGCAGAAUCCUGCUCAUGCGGCUGGCAAGAAAAAUCAGCUAUAAAAUGAAAACUCAAACUCAUCAAGAAAAAACCAACAGACAAAUGAAAAACUUUGACAAGCAACAUCGGAGAAAAAAGGGAAAACUUACCACUGCUGGAGGCCUUGCGGGAUUUGAAGAGUCAAGCAAACAACCAUGCGCUGGGGGAGCUGAAAGUGUUUCCAGGAGAUACUGGCUGAAAAUGCAGUCCUGUAUUCUCUCAAAAUACGCCGAUCUGUGAAAACUAUUUGCUGCAACCUUCAAGAUCAGCACCUUCAACAUCCAUGAAAUAGAGCCAGUGAGCAAACACCACAGCACCUGCAUGAUCACACCAAACAGGCUAUGUCCUGGUGAUUACAGAAAGAAAAACUUGGAAAUCUUACCUUCGUAACGAUCCUCACGGUUUUCGUAUCCUCUCGUCCGUUGAAAAUCACUUCCCAGACCCCGAGAGUCAGGCCAAUCCAGAUGCAAUUCUUCACAGCCUUCCGCAAGCCGUAUACGAAGUAGAGCACUCGUUUCUUGAAGAGAAAACGCCUCUCUAUCAGUGCUACAAAAAGCUUCCAGAGAGACAAAAUCCGUCAGAUCCAAGCCAGAAAAAUCAAUCGAAAGAGAGCCUACCUUGACGAUCCAGCUUGCAAUAAGUCGGCCCGAGAUAACAACGAGCGCAAGCGCUUGCCACCUCCAGAGACUAAGUUGCAGCCAACUCUUCCCUUCAAUCUCCUCGAUCUUGAGCGAGCAUACGAGCAAGGCAGUGAGGAUCAAGAGCGAGACCCACUGGAUCCAGUAGAGCCACUCGCUCUCGCCCUUGUUGAGAUUCUUAUCGCCGGGUAUGGAGUCGUCGUCCAGGGGAUCCUGAUCAUCCUCGAAAGAUAUCGACUUUGCGGAGCCGGGUGUCUUUGGCGGCGAGAACCUCACGUCGUCACCUUCAAACUUCCGGCUCUUGAGAGUGGAAGUGAUCUGGUUCCGGAUCGCGGGAGUCAUGGGCGGAGGAUCCAGCAGCCGUGUUCUCGACCUCCCAAAGUUGGAUUUUGGAGCGAUCCUGCGCAUGAGCGGCGGCGUCGUGGGAUCGUUGUCACUGUCGCUCUCGUUUCCAUAGCUGUCCACACGAGAGGUCUUGCAGUUGUCCGUGGUGGAGAGCUCCGGCGUGAGUGGAACCGGGACUGUCACGGUGAUGAGCGAUGGCCUCCGGGACCUGUAAUCCACCCUCGCGGACGCUGACAUUUGCGUGGACAUCUCUGAAGCCGAGCUAGCCACGAUCGAGGCCAAGGGAGGAAGCGUAGCUUGCGACUUGGUGACUUGAGCUGGAGGAGGAGGAGGAGCUCCAUCUCGAUCUCCCUGGGAGACUUGGAUGUCCUGGACCUGGUGGUGGCGAUGGCGGUGGCGCUGGUGGUGGCGAUGGAAAUCACCUUCUUCAUCGUCGUCGUCGAUGGUCACCUCACUGAUGAGCGUAUCUAUUUCCUCGGCAUGGUGACGUCCUGCCAUCGCCGCGAAGAGCAACACCUAGCCGGACAUUCUCACCUUUCAUGGUGAGAUCAUCCAAACCUUUCAUCUCCCCUGCCGCCGGGGGGCUAUGAAAGGUCAAGAGUCUUGCGUUUCUUCUUGGCUGACGUGGCAAGGAGAGAUUCUCGGUAGCGCUAGCUACUCCAUACCUCGCUGGAUCUUCCAACAGCGCCAUGGAUUCUUGCUGCGUAGCGCUCGGAUGGAGGACGCGCGCCAUUCCAUUCCAUUCCCCUCUUCUUGCCCUAAAGUUUUCUUUAAGAGCCCUUGGGAUAAAGAGGUUUAGGGCUUUUCUAGGGUAAGAAUGAGCGGGAGUGGCAUUGGCGCUGGCUCCGCCAAGACGCCCACGGAUUUCCUGCGCUCGAUCAAGGGCCGCCCGGUGGUCGUCAAGCUCAAUUCCGGCGUCGAUUAUCGAGGUAAUGGAUCCAUUGGCAGCCUAGAGAAAUCUAAGUGGACGGUGCCCGCGCAGGGAUUCUGGCGUGCCUGGAUGGGUACAUGAACAUCGCCAUGGAGCAGACCGAGGAGUACGUCAAUGGGCAGCUCAAGAACAAGUAUGGCGACGCUUUCAUCCGUGGGAACAAUGGUAUGGAGUAGGGCUCUUUUUCUCUUCUCUAUUUGAUCAUUCUUCUCUUCUUGCCAGUUUUGUAUAUCAGUACCUCAAAGAAGGUGAUUUCUUAAGAGAGACGAUGAUGCAUAGAAUUCUUUUUUCUCGCUCCUUUGUUGCAAUUUGGUUCACAAGGCACUCCAGACAAGCUUUGGAUUUGCAACCUACAGGUGGAGACUGGUCUGUCACUAGCGGCCAAUUUACGAAAGAACAACUACAUAUCACGACUAUGUGAAACACAGCCAUCGACGGCCCAGAAAAUAAUAUUGCAUAUUGUCGUAUUUAGGUAAUCUUUUUCUAUGGAUUAAAAAUAAAUUACGACAAGGUAUUUGCCUAAAUAAAUGGUAGUCCAAAAGAAACAUGAACAUUCUACAAGAUGGGAUUAAUAUUGUUUCCUACUUUUUUCUCUUUUUGUUUAUUAAAUAUACUAUUUAUAUUUGCAACACCUCCUAUUCCCCCUAUUCCUGUUCCAGCUAAUGAGCCUACUGUAAUCUAUGCUAAAAAUCCCAAUGCUAUCAAUAUAAAUCUCUUUACGCGCCUUUUGGGGCACAUCCAAGAAUAUAUUUCCUCACAAUUUCUUGAUGAUGAAACAUAUUCAUCUACAUUACGAACUAUAAAUAUUGAUUUCCGCAGAUCAGGGUUUAGGAUCACUGUAAAUUUAUAUGUUUUAGAUCCUGGAGUCAUUGGUCAAGAAAGUCUUAUACCAUAUGCUUGCACUACUGAUCCAACAAGUCCAAUAGGCUUUCAAGGUGAUGAGCUGCACACCAUUUUUGAAAGUCUUCUAAGAUUUGUUCGAGCAAGAGCUGCAUCAGAUGUAUUUGGGAUAUCUUUCUGUGGAGAAAUUCGUGUUGUAUUUCUCAAUCUUAUGAUGGAUUAUGAGCUAACAAUACCACUCCCCAAGCUUCCCCAAAAUAUGUUAAUGCAUGUAAAUUUUACUAAAGCCUACAAAUCUAAAGUACAAGAACAGACUUUAAUCCCUUGGCAUAUAACAAGUCAACAUGAAAAUUGUUGGGCAUUUUCAACUAUACUUAUUGGUCAAAAAGCUGAUAUAGUUGGCUCUUAUAUUCAAAUUGACAAUAGUUUAACCUUGCCAAAUAAAAAAUUCAGGCUAACAUUGGGGAGUGAUUGCAAAUUAAGGUUGUAUAGAAUUGGAUAUAGUAUCCCACUUUGGAUUAGCAAACAUAAGUAUAAACCCAGCCCAAGUUGUUAUGCACAUCUACAAAAGGAUGGAAAUUUUGUUACCAAGGAAGAUAAUAACUAUGAUCAAAGUAGGAUUUAUUGGGCUAGUAAUAACUAUUGUAUACCACAACCUUCAUGCAAAAUAAUAACAACAUUAACUGUUAGUAACCAUGGAAAUAUUAUUAUUUAUUGGAAGAAUCAAGUUCUAUGGAAAGCCUUGUAGUAGAUUAAUAAACUGACAUGUGUUGGUAUUUGGUAUUUCAUUAAUCUAGAUUAGAAAUGUGUCACAUCUUCUUAUAUUUUCAAUAAAAUAAUUUCUUAUUACUAAAUACUAACUUCUUCACACUAGUGUUAUAUUAAAUUUAACACAAUGUGAUUUCAUUAGUUAAUUUAAAACCACACUAUUAUUAAUUAAUAAUACCAAGUUUGAAAUAAAACUUUGUAAAUCUUUUAGUUAAUAAACUUAAAAACUAAAAUUGCUUUGGUCUAAUCAAUUUCAUUAUAUUGCUGAUUUAUAUAUAAAGACUUAAUUAUAUGGAUGGCUCAAAUUCAAUCCAGCUUUGUUGAUAAUAUAAUUGGCUUAUUAUUUACAUUUCAGAAUAUGUGCUAAAUAAAAUUAUUAAUUUUAAUAUGUUGAAAACAAAAUGAGUAUGUGAGUGCAUGGAAUAUGGAACAGGAAUAUAGAAAUAUGCAUAUCAAUUAGCCCAAAAACCCUAGCUUAUAUACAAAAGCAAGUGGUCCGGAUUGAAACCAAUCUGACAGCUACCAAAAUCCCACUACGCUAAUAUUAGUAUACGGCAUCGUAACCGUACACUUGGCCCUCACAUCAUCCCCUCCUCUUGGAAUAAUGGAAGGCCAUCAGGGUUCUCUUGUAGAUGGGCCGGGAUCUGGAGGAACGUCAGGAGGAGGCAUCGGUGGAUCUGUAGACGGUAUUAAUUGCUCCUGAUCCCUUUCUAUAAAGCGUUUUAACCGCUGCACAUGCACAAUCUCCGGAGGAUCAGCUUGCUGAACGUCAUGCCGAACCUCAUAAACUUGUGGUCCAACUUGCCACAACACCUGAUACGGUCCUUUCCACUGCGCAAGGAGCCCCUUAGAUAAACCACAUACCGUAAAAUGGGGAAAACGGACUAACACCAAAUCAUCCACUUUGUACUCCGCAGGUGGACGAUGAUGGGAAUUGUAGUGCCGUUGUUGUCCCACUUGUACGCGGCCUAAAUGUUCAACAAACUCUGCUCGGACAAGUGGAAGAAUGCUUGUCAAAUAUUGAUCCCAUGACUUAGCAUCAGGAGCUCGUGGCAAUCGCAAAGGUAAACCCAACUCUGUUGGUAAUAUUGGAUCAUGACCAUAUAGAAGUUUAUAUGGUGAAGCACCAACAGAACUCUGCACCCCUGUGACAUAGGCAUACCGAAGAGACGGCAAAUAACCAUCCCAAUCCGAAUGCUGAAAGUUCACAUACUUCGCAAUCAUCCCUUUGAAUGUCCGAACGAGCCGUUCCACCAGACCGUCUGAUUGUGGAUGAUAAACACUCGUAAAAGUGUGGCAUAUCCCCAACCGAGAUGUCAAAACAUGAAAUACCUUAGCCAUAAAUGCAGAACCAUUAUCCGAAAGAAUCCGCUCUGGACAAGAAUGCUGGAACACCACUCAAUUGAGGAGGAAGUAUCCAACAGCAGUUGCAGAGGCACUAGCAAGAGCACCAACUUCCACCCAACGAGUCAAGUAGUCAGAAGCAAUAAUAACAUACUCAUUGCCAGCAGUCAAUCGUGGAAAAGGUCCCAUAAAAUCAAAUGCCACCAACUCAAACGGACGGGAAACUACAAUUGACUCCAACCGUCCUUCCGCAGCACAAGGAGGAGUAUUAUGAGCUUGGCACCAAAUGCAGCUACGCACAUACCAGACAAUAUCACGUCGCAUCUCUGGCGAAUAGAAAGACCUGCACAGCUUCUCGGUGACAUGACGGUGUCCCAUAUGCCCACCUAGAACAGGAGAAUCAUGGUAGGCAUGGAGAAACCGCGGAAUAAACACCGAAGGCACCACCAACCGUAAAUGAUCAUCAGGAUCUGUCCCCACAAAAUAAAGAAGGCCAUCUUCAAGGCGAUAUUGAGAAUGUAAAUGCCGGAAAGGCAAGUCAUCAGCAAGUGAUGCAGGAUUCUCAAACUCAUCUUGAAGCCUUCGAAUCCACGGUGUAAGCCACAAAUUUUUCCUUUCCAAUUUGCCAGCUUACCUCGUCUAUCCGUCCAACACCGCCUUAGCCUUCGCUAAGUUCCCUUGCCAAGGUUCUCACCUAUGGUACCAGCUCCUACUUGGUCUCAGCUACUCACUGCACAAGCAACGGAGUGUUAGCCAUCAAUCCACGGAUUCCCAAAUCAUUCCCAAUCCCCCUCCCCGGGUUAGACUGGACUUAAGGUUCGGCUACACUUCCCGCAAGCACAAGCAGCCAAGCACACCAAGCUUCCAGGUUCCUAACUUCCCUUGGUACCACAAGACUUGAUCAUGGGACCCUCUAAAUCCCAAGUCUUGAGUGCAACACUUGCUUCGGGACACCGGGGCGAAACACCGUGGCCUAGCGGCCCGGUAGGGGUACCUCUCGCCCCCCACUUCCAUCCCGAAGGAAGGCCCAAGCCCCUAGGAAGGGCGAGGACCAAUGAGCCGCAUGGUACUCAAGUGGGGCACCACUCCACAUGAGCCGGGAGCACCGCAAUCGGUUUCCCUUUCGGGAGUGGGAGCUGCUCUUGAGCACUUCCUUGGAUGGCCCCUCCGGCACCAGCCAAGCCCAUGCUCACUCCCACCCAAGGCCCCUCGGUCCCAGUCUCAACCUCAAGUCGGUUUGGAAGCCCAAUUGGAGAGUCCCUUCNNNNNNNNNNNNNNNNNNNNNNNNNNNNNNNNNNNNNNNNNNNNNNNNNNNNNNNNNNNNNNNNNNNNNNNNNNNNNNNNNNNNNNNNNNNNNNNNNNNNUUCACCCCUUGACCCGUAUUAGUAUUUGGACUUAGUCUUUGGCUCGAUCUCGGACCCGAUUUCGGAUCCGACUUCGGAUUCGGGUUCGGACUCGAUCUCAGACUCCAUCUCGGACCCGAUCUCGGACCCGACCUCGGACUCAACCUCGGACUAGGUCUCGGACCCGAUUUCGGAUCUCGGACUCGAACUCGGUCCCCGAGUCGGUCUCGGACUCGAUUCCGGACUCUAUCUCGAACUCGGUCCUAGAGUCGGUCUUGGACUCGAUCUUCGACUUGGUCCCAUCCGAUGAACUCUUUGUCAUUUUGGUCAUGCUUUCGGGGUUUCUUUAGCCUACGACACCUCGGCGAGUUGGUUCCUUACACACGGCUCAAUCUUUUGAGCCACGCGAACCUCAUCCAGAGAAGGUAGAUCUUGCUCUGCGCCCUGUGGACACUGAACGUCAAGGACAGCAACCGCCGACAGCACAGAAUCCUCAUCUAGAAAAUCCACAAAUGCUGGAACAACAGGUUUGUCAGAAACAUGAGAAGUGAGUGGAGAAGGAAGAGGAGCUCGAGAAAGGGCAUCAGCAUCAGCCAUAGAACUCCCUGGGCGAUGAACAACAUCGAAAUCAUAUAUCUGAAGCUUCAAAGCCCAUCGAGCCGUACGACCAACCAGGUUCUUCCGCUUCAAUAAUGAAGUAACAGCAGCAUGGUCACCUUCAAUUAACGUCCGAGAACCAUAUAGAUAUGCAUGAAGUUUCUCGAAACCUCAGAUUGCUGCUAAACACUCCUUCUCCAUCAUGGAGUAGUUCAUCUCCGCUGGUUGUAAUGUAAGGCUUAUGUAUGCAAUGGGAUGGCGUUGACCAGGCACACUCAAGCUCUUUUGCAUCAACACACCUCCAAGAUCAAUGUCAGAAGCAUCCACGCGCAAAAUAAAAGGUCGAGUGUAGUCAGGAUAUGCCAAAACUGGAGGAGUCGUCAAUAGCUCUUUGAGAUUCAUGAACGCUCACUCACAAUCCGGAGACCAGAUGAAAGAUGACGUUGAUGACUUCAGCAAUGCUCGCAAUGGUGUAGUGCGAUCGAAAAGAUGAUCCACAAAACGACCGAGAUACUACACCUUACCCAAAAAGUGCUGCACAUCAUUCACACACUUUGGAGUAGGGAACUUUAGAACAGCCACAAGUUUGUCAGGAUCAACUUGCAAACCCUCACGAGAAAUACGGUACCCAAGAUAAGUUGUGUCCUUGGACCCAAACACGCACUUUGACCGCUUCAACUUUAAACCAACGUCGCGUAGCUGAUCCAACACUUUACAAACAUCACAAACGUGCUCCUCCCAUGUCCCCUCCGAGUGGAUCAAGACAUCAUCAAUGAAGUUAGCUGUCACCUCCGGCAUAUCGCAAAGAACCUCGUCCAUCAUCCGCUGAAAAGUUGCUAGAGCAUUGUUCAAACCAAACGGCAUCACCAAGAACUCGUACAAACCAAAUGGUGUACGAAAAGCAGUCUUAGGAAUAUCUUCUUCGGCCAUCGGUACUUGCCAAUACCUAGAAGCAAGAUCUAGCUUGGUGAACCAACGACUUCACCCCAGACGAUCCAAAAGAUCAGCAAUGUGAGGAAGAGGGUACACAUCCGUUUAACGGACGAUAAUCAAUGCAGAAACGAAUACUCCCAUCAGGCUUCGUCACAAGAUGAGGUUCACAUGCCCAAGGACUCCGCGACUUCCAAAUAACACCCUUCUCCAACAUCUCCUUGACGUUUGCACGUAAAAUCUUGAUCUCCUUGGGUGACCGACAACGAACAGGAACCUUGAUUAAAUGAGCAUGACAUGUAUGACGUGGGAUGACGUGUGGCAAUCUUGGCCCCAGACAAUAGGUCAAAUUCAAAGAGAUCAGAAUACUCCUUCAUGAGCUAGUCAACAGCUGCAACACAUAGAUCAUCGGAGGGAUCGGAAAAGGGAAGAGCAGAACAAGAUGGAAACACAAGAGGAAAUAGUGGGGGAACAAAAGUAAUGGAAGCAGAGGUAGAAGUAAAUGGACGAAGAGGUACGGAAGUGAGAGGAAUAGAUGAAACAUAAGGAAGUAUGAAACAAGGGGGAGAAGCCUCAAAGUCACAUUUGGCAUGAUUGCGCUGCAACCAAUCCAUACCAAGAAUGAGGUCAAAAGCUUGACUCGGCACCACCUGCAACGACUGCAACUCAAACUCGAGAUCGCCCACACGCAUAACCAGGUCCGCCUCAUCUCGUGCACAUGCAUAUGUAUGGCUGUUGCCAUAAAGAAUGAAAACUGGAUCCGCCGCAUGACGCAAGUGUAGACGACAACGUGUGGCAAUAGGUCGAGCAAUAGAAGAUAAACUCGAACCUGUAUCAACCAACACGGAGAGAAGAAUAGGAGACCUCUUGUUAUAAAAACGAGCUUGGAAAGUAAACACUAGAUGAACCGGUGCCGAGUGAACCCCUUGAUGAUACUCCCGAAAGAAAGAUGGAGGGGUCACUAACUUAUUUGCGCAAGAUCCCUCCAUUACUCGCGCGACUCCUUGUUUCCUGAAUGCACCUCGGUAUCCAAACCUUCCACCGCAGCAGCACCAACGGGACGUUGCUGACGCCAAAGUCUCCACCUAAGAAAUGGAGGUCGCCAAUCCGGAAAGCGCUGACAACACCGAUAAGUAUGACCAACUUCAUCACACGCCCAGCAACGAACAUCACGGCCACGACCACGUCCUCGCCCUUGUCCUUGGACUCGAGUAGCAGUAGCAUCAACCUCCAUUGGAACAAGACUAUCACUCAUAGAAAGUGGAGCUGAAGGACGUGCAGUGAGAAGUGGAAGAAGCGACAUCUCAUAACGUUGUGCCAAGCGAAGAGCAUCGUCAAGGGUGGUAGGAGCAAGUGCAUACACAAGGCCAACAAGAUUUUGACAAAGUGCUGGCCACAACAUUCCUAGCUUGAUCUGCUCCAACAUAUUAGGCUUCGCACGAAGCAAAAGACUUCGGAAACGAAUGCCAAAUUGCAUCACUGACUCAGAUGGCCCUUGGCGAAGACGAUGCAAUUGUUGGAAGGCAUCAUCACAAUCGUCGGCAUGUCCGAAGGUGCGUUUGAAGACGUCCGGAAGAACACUCCAAUCCCCACGAGUGGCCGCACUCAAUCCAUUGUACCACUGCAAUGCCGUCCCUUGGAGACACGUGGGAAACUCACGCAAACGUCGAGCAUCAUCCCAAGAAUGAUAUGUGGCAAUCACCGUGUAGUGAUCGAACCAAUGGUACACAUCAUCCCCAGGAUUCCCACGAAAGAACUCCGGCUGAACGCGAGGAUUGGCACCAAGAGCAGGAGGAGUUGGACCACGUGCCGUGAAUGCCGCCAUCAAUUGAGUUUGGUUGUUCAAUUGCAAGUGCAUAACAUCAAGCAAGUGAACCAACUGCUGCUCUAGAGUUAAAGGAGGAGAUUGCGGAUCGGCCAUGAAGAUGAACGAAAAAGAAAAAAGCAAAAGAAGAGAAAUGACAAAAAGCUGGAAAGAAAUGGUAGAUCUAGACAAUGCAAAAAGCUAGAUCUAAACCAAAAUCCUGAAAGGAAAGAACAAAAGAAAGGAAAUGGAAAAAGCUAAAUCUAGACAAUGCAAAAGCUAAAUCUAAACCGAAAUCCCAAAUCCAAGCACUCCCCAUGGACAAUCAAAGGUGCCCCUCACUUCCACCAAUGUGAGUGCAUGGAAUAUGGAACAGAAAUACAGAAAUGUGCAUAUCAAUUAGCCCAAAAACCCUAGCUUAUAUACAGGAGCGAGUGGUCUGGAUUGAAACCAAUCCGACGGCUACCAAAAUCCCACUACGCUAAUAUUAGUAUACGGCAUUGUAGCCGUACACUUGGCCCUCACAAGUAGAAAAGAGUUUGAUGAUAUUUCUAAAUAACUAGAAAAUUCUAAUGACUGAACAAAAAGAGAAAAAAUAUAUAUAUUCCGCAUCUUCUUGAAUUAUAGAUAUAUAAAUAUAUAUCAUAAUAUAGAUAUGUAUAAUUAAAUCAUAUAAGUUAAUAUUACUUAAGAGUCUUACUAAGUUUGUAAAAAAGUCAAAUUUUAUGUUGAUAGUAAUUUACAAAGCUAAGAAUAGAUACUUUUAAUGCUUAACUAAUUUUAUAGAAUUGAAAAUUUUGUUAUAAAUUUUUUUAAAUAAAGUAUAGCUAAAUAGUGAAUUUAAUUUUAAUAAUUUUAAUAAGUAACUUAUAGUCUAAUUUAAUGGAUUCUAAGAACCUUUAAAUUCUUAAUAAAUAUUAACUUUUAUAGUUGGUAAUAACCAAUGUAGUUAUAAUUACCCCUCUAACACCAUAUAUAAACUCUCCAAUUAGAAGAUGUAUAAUUUAAAUUAAAAAAUAUUUAACCCUAACUAUGAAAAAUCUAAAUGUUAUUCACUUUAGUUGUUUACAAUACAUAAAUUUACAAUGAAAAUUAAAACCCUUUAACUAAUUAAAAAGGGGUGUGCACUCUUAUUGAUGGGUCUUUUUAUUCUAUAUUUAAACCCCGAUAGAUACUCUAUUAAACUGUCCUUUUUUAUUAUUUACAGAAAUUUAUUAUUUUCAAUAUAUAUUACUAGCAUAAUAAAUGUUAUUUUUAGUCUUUAUUGUUUUAAAAUAAACAUUAUUAUUUUUAAAACUUAUUUUAUUUUUAAAAAUAUCCAUAAAAAGUCUAUAAAUAUUAUAUUUUCAAAUUUAGUGAUAUACUCAAUUUUGUGCAAGGAUUAAAAUUUUUAAACCUGAUACUCAAACAACUAAGUGGCUUAGUUUUUAUGAAUAAGGGAACUAAAAGUAGAAAUAAAGUAAAAAUAUUUAAUAUAUUAUAUAACUAAUUUAAUAAUGUAGUCAAUUAUGUAACUAAUCACAUAUUUAUAAUUUUUACAUUACUAAUAAUUUAGUAAUUAUAUUUUUUAUAAAUAAUAUUUUAAAAAAAUUUAAUUAACUCUUUCAGUAAAUGAAAAUAAUUCCUCUAUUAUGGAACUACUUUAAUUUAUGGUCUUUAGUAAAACUAACAUGCAUUUAUAUAGUAUAUGGAUAUUAUGAAGAAAUAUAAUAUUAGUUUCUUUACAUGUUUAUUACUACUUGGUAAAUACGCUAAUAUUAAUUAGUAGUGUUAACAUAAAAGCAUGCUAAAAAUCCUCCUUAGGUCUACUAUAAAGCUCCUGUCUACUUGCUGUAGAAGUGAGUAUGUCUGGAUCUCUAACCCGUUUGCAGCAGUAUUUUAUAAAAUAGAAUCUUGGGAAUCUCUGCUGUAAUAUAUUUUUGGUUGAUCCCAAUCAAGUUAUGAAGAACAGGGGCAUGGGAGGAGUUCUUUAUGUUGUCCAGUCAGUGUCAGAAAAAUUGACAUUGAGCUCUACCACCUUAGUCUCAAGCAACCAUACUAUUAAAGGAAUUUGUGACUCCGAUUAGGAAUGUGUCUGAAUCUAAAGCCAUAUCAUAGAGAUUUUAGAGUCAUGAGAGGGUGAUGGAGAAGGGAUUAAAGAUUUUGAACAUUACUCAAAAAGAAGAUUUUUGAAAAAAGUGGUAGUAGACAUGAAUGUGGAGAAAGAUGAAUGGAAUGUGGUGUGAGAAUGGAAAAUGGUUUGAGGAAGAUGGCUGGAUAGCCUCAAGGUUGAGAAUGGUGGUGCAAUCUAUGAUAUGGACCUCUGGCAAUGAUAUAUUAUAAAUCAUCUUGUGAAAAAUUAUUGUGAAAUCUAGAGCAAGCAAAGGGUUGUCAACAUGUUAAUUGUCAUCAUGAUUCUUUGCUAAUAAUAAUUUGCAAAUGUCUCAAAUAUGAAAGGUGAUCUUAUAUAAUAUUCGACAUUUCAGCUUUCUCGAAUAACAAACCUUUCCUCAUUAACACUUAGACCCAGAUGAGCAAAUUGUGCCCAAUACUAAAAAGGUACUAUCAAACAUUUAUGUCCACUUACCUUAAUUAAAAAAGACAUGAAAGUACUUAAUUUAGACACUUUUACUGGUAUCAUAUGGUAGGAUAUCCAUCUAGCUACUAAUGUCUUGUCUUCUUUGGCAAAUCCAAAUUCAAAUGUGCCUAUGUGUGCACAAAACAAUAACAAAAAUAGUGUUGAAUAGUCAAGCUAAAGGUGAAUAUCUUGAAGAAGAUACCAAUAGAUAUAAAUUCUUUGGCAGCUAAAACAUAUAAAACAUUAUAUCAACGAUGGGAAAGUUACUGCUUUGCCUCCUCUUUCUUGCAGUAUUUGCAUUUUCUCAGCCACCAGCACCACCAGCACUUCGAGCUAGUGUGAUCUACACUGCAAACCCCUAUGUUCUCAAUGCAAAUCAAUUUUCCCGCAUUCUAAGAAAUAUUCUAAGGUAUGCCAUUGUGUGGUUCCAAGAUGGCGAAACUUAUCCAGUUGGGGUGAGAAUUUUAGUUGUCAAUUUCAGGCGAUCCAGGUUUAGAAUCAUAGUUAAUCUACAUAUUUUAGCUCCAGGAGCUAAUGGCCCAGACACCCUUUUACCUUUUACCUGCACCACUGACCCGACCAGUCCCUUUGGCUUUCGAGGCCAAGAUUUAAGAAAUAUAUUUCAAAUAAUUGUAGGAUCCAUACAACAAAAUGCUAGAUCAGAUCCAGACGGGAGAACAUUUUGUGGAGAAAUCAGGGUUGUAUUUUUAAAUCUUAUCAUUGAAUAUGCCUUCUCAGCCAUCCUUCCUAAUGAGGGAGUACUACAUGCGAGUUUUAUGUCCACAUUAACAUCAAAUUACAGUCACAACCAUCCUUUGCAGGUAAUCCGUUUAGGGAGGAGUGAUGAUCAGGAUGAUCAGAACUGUUGGCCAUUCUCAUCAUCGCUCUUUGGCCAUAAGGCGGAUAGAGUUGGUUCUCAUAUCAAAUCUGGGAACAGUUUAGUCUCGCCAAAUCGAAAGUUUAGACUAACCAUGCAGAUAGAUUGCAAGCUAGUGUUGCGUAGGAUUGGCGAGAAUCCCAUACUUUGGAUUAGCCAACAUAAGUAUAAACCUGGGCAAGGUUGCUACGCGCAUUUGCAAGAAGAUGGUAACUUUCUUAUCAAAGAUGACAAGGAUUCUAUUUACUGGGCAAUUGAUAGAUAUUGCAACCCACAGCCCUUUUGCAAGGUCACAACUACUUUAGUUGUUACCAAUGCUGGAAAUGUUUUAGUCUUUGAUGGGGAAAAUCAAGCCCUCUGGAAGGCUCUGGAAUAAAAUCAUACAAUUCACAAACUCUCUACAGAGCUUACUUAGCUCGCUAGUUGGAGUAUUUUCUCUUUCGCCUCUCUCCACCGCUGCUUCCACUCGUCUUGAUGGAGGAGGAAGAAGGUUGAUGCGGGAGGACGAGCAGUGAUGGUGGCGCUGGAGCUGGAGAUGGAGCGGCGUGACCAAUGUGCUGGGGAGCCGGAGGAGCUGGAGGAGCCGAUGGUGGCGCCGCUACUGCUGCUGUCGAUGCUGGCGCUGUUGCUGCUUCUGGCAUUGGACGCGGAAGGACGUGCUUGAGACGAUUGCUGCGGUAGUGCUUCCAAAAGUAGAAUUGUUGUCUGUGUGCUAGCUCCUGCGCACAGCCAGAUGGAUUAGAGAUGAAAAGACAGUUCUGUGUUACCUUGUUGGCUGGGUGUACCAUUGCAGCUCUGAAGUGAGAGCUUUGGAGAAGCUCGAGAAAGAACAAGCAAUGAGGGUACCUGAGCAAGGAGUCCGUGAGCUAAAACAAACUCAAGGAGCUAGCGAAGUGUUGUCAGAGUUUUCUCCAAAACAAGCUUACAUUAUGAAUUUCGCGUACUCUGGGCGACGCCAAUACUGCAAGUACUUGAGAUAAUUUACAAACGCUUCAUCGUCAAAGUAACGAUUCUGGGCGAGGUCUGCAAAAGGCAACAAUCACCCAUCAGCGAUCACAAAGCCAAAGCAGGGAAACAAUACGUACAGUGAAUGUAGGUCGGGUUUGCGAGGCACUGGACGAACUCCAGCUCCAACAAAAAUCUCUGCCGCCCUCCAUCGACCUCUUCACCACUCUCCAUUGCUAAACCCUACACAUCUUGGAGCGCAUAUUCUUAGCAUAUUUUAAAUCGCUUUAUUUCUCUGCAAACACGACAAUUAUGAAUCGUAAACCAGGAGCAAAAAUCUUACCUCUGUUCACUCUUUGGAACGCCAUUCUUCUCGAAUCUUUACGCUAAAAAAUCUGUACAAAUAAAUCUCUAUAGAUCGCUAUACUUCAUCUGGGUGUACAUGCUGAGCAAAACAAACAAUCAAUUACACUUGAUAGAGCCAAGUAAAAAUCCUUACCGCGAAGCUCGCAAUGUCGUGCUUGACUUCUAGUAAAUCCCUCACAACGUCGUAAGUCAUACUCUCGGCCUGAGCUAGCUUCGUGUUCAGCAUAAAUACCUGCAAGAUUUUCCCGAGUCACGAAAGUGAGUGAAUGAGCUCUUCACGUUUCUACCUCUUUCUCACGAACUGUGGCCGCGGCCUCCAACUCCUCGAUCCGUCUCUUGUUUGUGGAGUGCUCUUCAUUACUUACCCCUAGUCCAAUACACUUGAACGGGGAGCCCGAGCCUUUUGCUUUGACACAGGCCUUUUCUGGUGCACGCUGGCACGGUUUUGGCAUACAUCUCGUCUCCAGUGACGCUUCUAGUCGCUUAAUCUGUGAAUACAGCACAAGUUUAAGCUAGUUGUUCAAACGAAUUCUUUUCACCUUUCUCCGGUACGCGCUAGCUUCUUUAGUAGCUGUGUCCAUAAGUUCCGACACAUGCUUGCGCAAGGAAUUUAUCUGCAAGGAAAACAUCAGAACAGCAAUGGAAAGAAUGAACACAUACCUGGACGUCUUUUAGAAGGCCCUCCUGCCGAAAAUUUUCUAGUUCUUCGUCCAGGCGUAACAGCUUAAUCUUGUCAGCCGAAAUACUGGUAAAGAGUAAGUGAUCAGACACACUCAGCACGUAAAAUGAAUACAACGUACUCAGAGUAGUCUGUCGCUUGAACUAGCAUCUUGGUUCUGGAUAGCUCUGCCCUUAGUCUCUGCACUUCCAUUUCCAUGUCUUCCUUCAUUAUCUUCUGCAUCUCUCCAUCCCGUUUAAUAAGACCGAUCUGAACGAAGACGGGUUAAAAACUUGCAGACAAUAGUCCCCAUUUUACCUGAUUUUCCAUAGUAGCGAUCGUACUUUCUAGCUCCUGCACAGACCGCUCAAGAACCUUGACCUCCUCUUCUUUAUCAGUGGAAAGAACUUGGCAUUCCUCCGCUACCUGCAAAAGGCACGCAGAUUAAGUAUGAACCACAUUUUCCUCAAGCUCAAGUACCUUGCGAGACUUCUCUGCCACCAUUUCUAGUUCAUCCAUAGCGAACCGCGCUUUUUCAAGCUGCUCCUUGACCUUGCAUAGCUCGGCGUGAAGUUCAUCCCUUUCCAACAAAAGGACGCCCGAAUCAAAAUCCCCCUGUGACUGCAAAACUUUUCUUUCCACCAGGGAGCUCAUAUCAAGCAGUUCCGAAUCCAAGCUCUGAAUCAGAUGUCGCUUAUCUUCAAGGUCCUCCUCCAAUCUUGUGUUCUUCAACUCUAACUCUUCAAUAAGCCUUUUCUGUGAUCUGUUCUCCGUCGACAGGUAGCCCGUGGUUUCUUUCAAAGUUCGGAGCUCGUUCUCAACCGACGUGAGUGUUUUCAGUAACUUAAGAAGCUCAGCCUCUGCACCAUUGAUCUCGUUGGUUUUUAUGUCGAGCUCUUCUUGCAUCCUGUUGUUUUCGUCCUGGAGUUCGAUCUUCUUUUCGUGUGCUUCAGAGAAAGCCUCCUGCAGUAGGCUGAUAUCGUACUCUAGACCCUUGACAAGCUCGUUCUUCCUGCGGAUUUCUCCAAUCAGCAAAUCCGUCUCGUCCAUCAUCUCGUACAUCUUGUCUCUCAGUUCCACGAACUCGCCCCUGACAUCGUCGCCAAAACUGAAUACAGUUGACAUGAUAUCUGUCAGGUUGUCUUGGAUAGCCUGCAUUGUAGUCUGGACUUCAUGCUCUGCGUCCGUGAUGGCGUCGACCGUGUCGCACGUAAUCGUUCCAAUCUCCUGCUUGAUAACCUGCAAGUCGUUUUUCGCCUUAUCAAGCUUGCAGCUGAGAGCCCUCUCUGGUAUGGCAGCUACUUCCGACACAGAUCUUCUCACGUCACCGUGUGCACCAGAUUUGGCAAUCUCGUUGGCCUUGACAAGUGCGUUGAGCAGCUGCUCGGCCUCCUGAAGCAUAUGCUGACUAUCCUUGAACUUUUGUAGUAUGGUCGCCGUUUCUUUACUCUUGGCCGCAGCCUCCAGCUUCGCUUCAGUCAACUCCACCAGAAGCUCCUCUUUCUCCAACCUCCAGUCAUUUUCCUUGCUUUUGUCCACCUCGACGCUAUUGCCUCUGCUUGCCAGGAUAUAGUUUCGUGUCAGCUCGCGGACCACUACGAACGCCACGUACGCCUUUUUCUCUGCUUCUCUCAGCUGCUGGUGGUACGCGUCAACUUGAACCUUCAGCUGAUCUGCCUCCGAUACCUGUUCCUUCUGGUGGUCGCUUAUGGAUUUCAUUUUCUGUUCAGCUUCUUUGGCAACACAUAACGCCUGAUGGAGUUUGUCUUGGAGAGCUCCAAUGUGUGGACUGUACUGUUUCGAAACCUCCAUGCUCUUUCCAUGAAAUGACUCGCGUAUAAUAUCCUCCAUUUCCUUUGCAGCAGCUACAAGUGCUUGGUCCCCCUCGGCAAGAAAGUCGAACACCUUGGACGUGGCAUCCUCGCACUGUUCCUUGAUCUCCCGAACUUCCGUAUCUCUUUCUUGAAGUAAACUGUCAUACGCUCUAGCCAAUCUCGAGUUCUCUUCUGUAAGGCUGUCGGACUUGAGCUUUGAGUUUUCAAGCUCCUCAACCAAGCACGCAACUUGAUCGUUAGCAGUCUUGCAUUCCUCCCGUGCCUUAGCAAGCUCCUGGUUCAUGCUUGCAAUAGCAUUUGCCGUUUCAGCUUCUACUUCGGAUCGUGUAUCCUCCAUCUCUUUCUCAUGAGCUAGCCUCAAGGCUUCUUCUCCUUGAAAUAGUUGAUUCCGCAUACGAGCAUCCUCAAGCUCUCUUCUCGUCUUUUGCAGCUUCGCCUCGAGAACCUGUUUCUCUUCAUCGUCAACGUAGCCGACAAGAGUUUCAGCAGAAGCCCGAAUCUCAAGUUCUCUUUCCAAAUCGUGGAGCUCGUUCUUUUUCUUCACUUCCCAGUUAACUAGCCGGAGUUGGUCCUUUGCUUUCUGCUCCCGGGCUUCAGACUUCGUUAGUUUCUCAGAUAGCUUAUUGUGCUCUUCCAGGGACGGUUCGAACUCGCUAAUCAGAAAAAGCUGCUGGCUCUCCAUUUGCUCUUGUACCUCUCUGGCUUCCUGCAAAUGUGAAUUAAGCGAAGAUUCGCAACACUUAUUCAGCAAACCUUUAAUUGUUUCUUUAGCUCUUCUAUUUCAGAGCAAUAGUUUUUAGAACAGUCCUCCAGACUUCUUAUCCUCGUGGCUUGUGCUAUUCUGCUUUCCUCGCUCUAGAAAAGCGCAAGUGAAGCAAAUUAAACGAACAGAAGCCGGGAAGUUGUUACCUCCUUUAACAAGGCUUCUAGAUGAGUCAUGCUCUUCUGAUGUUUUCGUUCCAGGAGUUCAAUUUCCUACAUGAACAUCACCUUCGAAUUCAGUGCAAGAAGGACAUGCGAACGUAUACCUUCAGAUGUUCUCUCGUUUUUUCUUCAUUCUUUUCCUGUGAGGGACAGGAUGCAGCUUCAAGCUCGGCAAUUUGCCUACUGAAAAAGGAAGACGACGCAUUAAUAUGAGAAAUGUGAACGAAAAUACCUCCUCAAAUUUUCGUUCUCUAGCUGGUACUCCUGUAAUUUCCUCUGAUAACUGGCAUUCUGACAUGAAUUUAACUCUAGCUCAGCUUCAAGAGACUCCCUCUGAAUGGAAUAAGUUUUUAAUCUUUAAAUUCGUAAGUGAAACGUGAAAAAUAGAUACCAGCUGGUUAAGCUUCAAAAACUCAGCCGAUAAAAGAGUGUUGAUGUCUCUUCUUCUCUUGGGAGUGCAUCUCUGUAGUUAUCAAUGAAUCGCAGCCCUUCCUAUAACAAAUGAAUUUUAUUACCUUUCGAUGCUCACUAGAGAGCACAUUGUCAGCGUCACAAUCCUCGGAGGAUGGAGAUGUACAUGUCCCACUAGACUGAGAGCGUAAGCGGUUCACCUCUUCCUGAAUGAAUCAUCACAUACAGAUGAAGGAUAAAAACCGAACACGCAUACUUUGAGUUUGUAAAUUUGUUGUCGUAGAACAUUAACAUCACGCGAUGUAUCUUCGUUUACCACGGCCUGCCCCAAACGAGUAUGGAGUAAAGCACAAACUUUCAUAAAACGUACAUUAUUGCAGAUGAACUUCGCCCUUUGUGCAAACUUUAACGUGCUUAGUGUGUCCAAGGAACAGCUGCAAUAAAAUGCUUAACACGAAAACAGUAGCAGUAAAUCGUACCAGAUCGAAGGACUCACGGUGCUGAUUAUCAUUGUUUUAGAGUUCCCUCCUAAGGAAUCCUGUUCCAAUAUUAUCAAUAACAGAUCAAAGAAAAAUAAUGGACUCGACUAAACCUGAAGAAGAUACGUAAGCUUUGAAUCACGAUAUGGAACAUGUCUUUGCUUUCCAUUAGCAACGUCCACUAAUACCAUAAUGACGAGCCUAGAGAAAGAAACAUAAGCAGAUGAUGAACGAGUUUUCGAAUCAUGCUCACCCAAGCGUUGAUAGAGAUUUGUUGAUAUUCACAGCCUCUUUCAACCUAUCAUUUUCAGCGCCCGAAGACUUCUGCCUGCAAGAGAUUCAAUCAACCCCGUAAAGCACGAACAACGUACCUCUCAGAACCAGCUAGAUCAACCAAGUUUAGCCUUCCGUAUCUUCGAUUAAUUACUGCCUCUCGUUCCCACUGUAGAAGACGUUUUAGUGAAAAUUGGUGUACUACAAAAUGCAUACCGUGCUUUCGAUAACGCAAGUCAAAACACUAUGCGAGCGGCUACUCUCCCUGUUCAUAUUCGUAGCAGCAACCUUGCGGUUAGAUGCUCCCUGUAAGUAAAAACAUGAAUGCCAUUUAAGUCUUAACCGGGGCUUGACAAAAACCUGAAGCAGAAGUUGCGUGACAUCUUUCAAGCAGUUGACUUCAAACUCUGAAAGGCUUUCGACAUAAACACCUUUCCUUGCAUCCUCUCUCACUUGCAAGUUCGUUGAUGAAGGUUCGAGAAGAUCAGUAAUCUGUUCGUUGUAGAUUUCCAGGAACGAGCAUCUACAUGUAUAUCUAAGGUUUUCGUCUUUACGACCUUGUUCUUCCUGAAAAGAAAAACAUUAGAGGCUUCAAAACUUACCCAGAAGGAUAAUCUUGCCUUUCGGAUGGUAGAAAAUAGGUGCUCAAAAGCUCGAAGAAUCAGACCACGAUUCUCACUAUCUUUGCUAGUGAUAUCACCAAGCAUGGUAUGCGUCUUGCCACUACCAGUCUGCAUUUUCCAUCUUAAUUUUAAAUACUAAGACAACGUAAUAAAAACAGCAGACCUGGCCGUAAGCAAACACACAACUGUUGUACCCUCGCAUACAAUUUUCAACCAUAGGCAUUCCAGCAAUUCUAAAGAGCUUAUCCUGCCAUGUCAAACGUUAGAAAGCAAGCUAGACAACGUAGCUUGAUCUACCUGAGUGAUAGCCUCGCACGCAACAUGAUCAAAUGUGAAUCUGGUGUCCGGAUUUCCGAGCCAGGUUAAACUAUGAGCACUAUCUUGCCUGAUGCAUGUAUCAUAUCCUUCUGCAGCAAUCUCGUGGCUACUCAGUGGUCGAAUUCUUAUAAGCACCUGAAAAACACGCGGGAAGUUGCAAAACCGAGGAAAGAAUGGAACUUUCAGCCAGAAGAGAAAGUGACAAUGAUAUAAAGUAAUACCUGGACACUGUGCUCCAGCCAAAACGAACUGUCUUCCUCGAGAUCAAAAACGGGUUGGCAGUCUGGAUGGACGGCCGCAGAAUUAAAAACUUUAGAGCUGUUAUGUCCUGCCCUCUGUGGAGUGGAAGAUCCAUACUUCAGAGAUUUGGAGAUGAUCUUCCUGGGCGUGGCCGCAUCAUUGCUGCUUCCGGCCGUAGAAUGGCAGUCCUUCUCGGGCUUUGAGCUACGAGGAGUACCUGCCUUAUGCGUGCUUUGAUGAGGGUUCUUGGGUAUCCCUGGCUGCUGUGGGCGAUGACUCGCUGGCUCACUCUCGGCUCCAAGAUUCUUGACUUGUCUCUGGUACCAAGAGAACUUUCCCUUCGGUCGCUUCUCGGGAGUAAUCAAGAGAUUCUCCGGGACAUUCUCGGAAUGCGGGAACACGGUCGCGAAGCUCAUGCUACUGCCCUUCUUCCCUCGGGGCGUGGCGCUGCUGCUAGGGCCUGUUUCUUGGUGAUGCGAGGACGGGAGCUCGUGUUCCAGGAGAUGAUCGCGAUCCGUGUGGCCGCUUCCCGGAUUAUGCUUGGCCCCGCCUCUGGGAGAGCUCCCUAUGAGCAUCCGGAGAGGAGAAACCUUCGGCAUUCUUGAAUCCUAGCAAAAUCUACCCCUACACUCGCUGCUACCUCGCGCAAGGCGCUGCCGCUGUCGCAAAACAGACCCCCGGCGCUCGAUCGAGCGCACCCUGGCCUGCCACGAAGAACCCUAAAUCGGCAGCGUGGGCGCCUGGCACGCUGCAACAAAUGCCCCAGUGACUGAGUCCGGGCAUUUUUCGUCUGGGCCUAGAUUUCCAUGGAUGGGGCAGGUUUAGGGCUUUAGUUCCUUUGCACGAACGCAGAUCGCGCGGCUGGAUUUAAAAGCUCGCAAUCGAACGGCUGUCGUGCACGGGCGGCAACGGUCGAUUGUUGUGGGACCCAAGACUUUAUUUUUGGCCAGAAUCGAAACCGAAACCACUGGCACCAGCUUAAUUAAUCUGGUAGCGUGCUUUUAACAUAACCAAAGAAUACUUUAUUUCCAUGCUUUCUUUCCACGGAAGUUCUUCGUCAAUCUAGCCUUGGAUUUUCGAUGCUCGCGAGUUCGAGCGGAUUUCAUGCGCCGAGCAGCCACUGGGAGGUUCUUUUUCUUCUCUUUUUGGCGAUUACUCAAGCCUCCGGUCUAAAUCCAAACAAACAAAAUCUAACGAGUGAAAUAGCGAAUGAAAAACAUACCUUUCGUUUCUUUACUGCUGCUCGUGAAGUAUAGGUGCCUCUGUCGUCCCUUCCGGCCUUGGACGAAGCAAUUCUCUCUUCUUUGCUUUGCUUUCUUCGUAUGUUUGCCUGCAAAGUAAAGCAAUACAGAGUGAGCGCUUCGUGCUGAAAGAAAGAAAUGAAGAGCUUACCUCUAGUUUUGAAGGAUCAAGCGGACGUUGGUUUUGUGACUCCGAAGCGAUUUUCCUAAGCCCGUGAUUGGAGAGGGCAUUUUCAGCUUCUCGCUUGGCCUAAAAAGGAAGGAAAAAAGAAAAAGUGAAGUCAAAGUGGUACCGAGUGAUGAUAAGUACCUGGAUCUCUCGAAUUCGUCGGAAGUCUUCGUUUGAUAAAAUGCCAUCGCCAGAGACCUCGUCAUCCUCCAGUUUGCUACCCGCAAACCUUUUAAGUUGGCUCAAGCUCAUGUCGUCAAGGUUUGAUUCCUCGCCGUCCAUUUUCUUUCGCUUAAGCGUCGCAACCUGUUUCAUUUCGCCAUUCUUCAGUUUCUUUUCCAAAGUCUCGGGCACAUCUUCAUCUGACCCUUCGUUGUCAUCUCCACUGUCUUCAUCAUCUUCGCCUUCGUCAUCUUCUUCGUCUUCUUCGUCGUUGUCAUCUUCUAGCUCUUCUCCACUGCCUUCACCCUCCUCCUCGCUACUUUCUUCUUCCUCUUCUCUUCCACUUUCGUCAUCUUCGUCUCCACACUCUCCACUAUUGUCUUCGUCCUCCUCUUGCUCCGCCAAAAGCUCUACGCCCGGCACGUCGGUGUGAACAAUGACUUUACCAAAAGCCUUUGGUUCCACGGAUAAAUCAGUGCCGCGACCACGGUGCUUCUUCAUUAAAAGUGAUGGAUUAACCUGUCAAAUAAAAAUUUGUGUCUUUAGUAAAGACUUCCAGGCACUUAACUAACCUGGCGAUAGAGUCCAAUGAUGGAGUUCGCAGCGGCAGAUACUGCUUUUUCUCGGGAUUUUUUGUACAUUGAAAGAUCUUCAAGAAGGUCUCUUGUCAUGAUCUGCACGAAAGAAAAAACGGUGAGAAAAGGAACGAGACUUAUGAUACGAUGAUCUCACCAGUGGCAUCCGAGCACAAAUCUCACGAACGGUGUUUAGACCGACGGCAAUAACCUGCGCUAGUCCAUCAGCAACAUAAAAACCAUGAAAGAUAAUUUACCUCAGGCCGCGAGCGAUCAUGCACAAACGAGUUCACCAGUUGCUUCAGCAAUGGUUCUACUGCAUCAACUGGAACCUAAAACAAAGUGUCAGAAAGGAACUAAAGCGUGAGUAUCGGCUCACCUUAUCGUGGCAUGCCUGAACUGCGGCCGCAAGCAGCUGAGUUUCAUCUUGUUGGUGAGGCUGCAGGGAAGUUAUAAUAUUAAAUCGGAAUAGGGAACUAGUCCGCAGACUUACCGACACAUAGCGCUGUAAAUGAGGAUAGAAACUGAGUAGUAAAAGCUGAUGCAUCCCCACGCAUCGCGAAAUAACCAUAAUCAUCAUAAGUUUCACCUAUAGAAACAAAGACAUAUCACCAUCUAUGAAUCCCAGAAGGUUUUCUUACCUGAAAUUUCUCGUUACAGUUUUGCAAACGCGCAAACAACUUCUCCGCGAAUUCCUUGUUUCACAAUACGUAGUGUUUUAGCAACUUCCGAACCGAGGUGAAAAACCAGUGACUAACCUGUGGAUCUCGCAGAUGCUCGAGAGGUGCAAAGCUUCCUUUUUUUUCCUCCUGCGCUUUUAUCCGCUGCUGUUUUUUCAAGCUACGGAUGGCCCUCUCUAUCUUAGCUUGCUUCUUCUUCUUGCUCGAAACCGUGCCUUUGUGUUGUGACUAGAGUUCACCGAAAUCGAACAUUUCAAUAGUGCGUGAUAAAUCAGCCAAACCUUACCUUGUAUAUGGCUUCCUUGCUCACACCAACAGCUCCCGAGGGUGUGUCAUCUUCUUGAUCGGACUCGUCGCUGUCUUCAUCGUAUUUAUUUUCGUAGCCAUGAAGAAAUUUCAAGGUAGCUAUCAUAAUUCUACGAAAACAGUGUCAAAAUGGCAGCUUGAACUUAAAGAAAACUUGAGCUGAACUCACCUCGGAGACUUGUGGAAACAAGCGUUGCAGAUGGCAUUCGCAGUUUGCGGAUCAAUCCACACCUUUCGCCUGUAGAGCUCGCAAGUCAAGACGAAAGCAUGCUUUGCACGAGCUUCAUCGUCUUCCUAAACGUUUUAAUGUCGGUGAGCGCUCGAAGCAAUAAGAAAGUAGAAAAGUGCAUACCUGGAUUACUGGAAAGAUGAUGUUCUGCAAGGACCUGUUCUUGGCUUCGUUCCUGUGCUUGCGAUUCAUGCGAGAGAUGUUCUGCAAAAGGUGGGAGGAGACAAACUUUUUGAGAUUUUUGUCUCCUGAGGAUUGAAGCUUUAUCAUCACUGGCAAGACUUCCACGAGAGAAAUUUUCUACCAGAAAAACGAAAGGUUAAAGACCUUGUGUAAAUUUUUUUUCACUUCCUUACCUCUCGAUUGCGAAGAAGAAUGAGAGCUUGCGCAAGGUGACAACGCAAAGACGAUGGAAGACGAUUGCUAGCAUUCUUGAGUAAAUUGAGUAGCUGAUGCGGAAAUCCAGCCAGCUGCUUGGGAUACGAGGGCGUAACAUGAGCUAGAAACAUCGCCAUAUCGCCCAGCUCCUUGGCGGCCGCGUGAUCGGGCGCCAGAGCGGCAAACGAAACGUUCCCAUUCCCAGCAUCCGGCGCCUCCAGUUCAAGAACACCCAAGCACGCCUUGAAAUGCCGCAGCUGCAAAUCGAGCUCUGCCUCAUACCCGCCGGGAUCCUCCUUCAUUCGCGAUUGCAGCAGCAGCAAAUCGGCGUGCGGAGUCACCUCCAUCGCGCACUCCAAGAGCCCUAAAAUCAGACCAGAGUGAUAAACCCUAAACUCUCAUUGGACGGCUAGCAUUUAAUUCCAAGGUUUAUUCUCCUUUAUUCCCACCGAUCGAACGGUCACUAUUCAUCUUUAGCAAAAAUCUUUGUACACAGACACCUAGCUUUAGAAUGCCGAUCCACUUCCCCUUCUCUGCCCGAGCAACACGUCCUUGGCCUCGUUGAUCUUCGUCGCGAGGUAAUCGCUCCCUCCAGCAUCUGGAUGAUUCGCGACCAUCACUUUCCUGUGCGCCUCUUUGAUCUUCUCCUGUGCGACGCUUUCCCUGUCCGCCAGAGCUUUGGACUCGAAUCGAGAGAGGAAAAACCCUUACCUCACGCCAAGGAUCAGCGCGGCUUCUCGUCUCGUCAUCGUCGGCUGGAAACCGCCCUCGUAGAAUUUUCGCAAUCGCGGCACUGCCGGUCGCGUCCGGAACGCGUGCCAUGCCUCAACCCCAUACUUCCCAGCUAUCGCAGCUGCGGCGAUCGCAACUCCAGCAAUGAAUGGCGUAGCCUGCGACAUUGGGGCAUCAGCACGCUGAUCGAUCGAUCCCAUUCACUCACCAUACUUCCCUGGCGAAGCGCGCUUCGCUCGCUCGUAAUCCCUAACCCUAAAAACGCCAUAGCCAGAAAAUGGACGGCGGAGAUCUUUUGAGCAAGAACCCUAAGCCCUAAUUUCUCUUGGCGAGGCGGCGAGAGAGCGAUGGCGCAGCGGCUGACUUACCGGAGGCGCCACAGCUAUGCGACCAGAUCCAACCAGACCAAGGUCGUGAGAACGCCAGGUAAGUCUCUCCUCCCUCUCUCUCGCUCUCGAUCGAUGCAUUCUCACGGAUUUCUCUCAGGUGGGCGUCUCGUCUACCAGACCGCGACGAAGAAGGCGAAGGGGCCGCGAUGCGCGAUCACCAAGAAGCCCAUCAUCGGGGUAAGGCAUUCUCGAUUCUCUCGCUUUCUCGCCGCUUAGCGCUAGCUCUUUGAUCUGUGGUAGGUUCCUCGUCUAAGGCCGAUGGAGUAUAAGCGCUCUCGCAUUGCCAGGCACAAGAAAUCCAUCAGCAGGGCCUACGGUGGAUCCAUGUCCGCGUCGGCAGUGCGCGAGAGGUAAAGUAUCGAUCGAUCUGUCAAUGGGAUCUCUCAAAAAAUACUUUGGUUCUUCCAGGAUCAUGCGAGCUUUCUUGGUGGAGGAGCAAAAGAUCGUGAAGAAGGUUCUCAAGGUCCAAAAGGCGAAGGAGAAGCAAGCCGCCAAAGCCCAAGCUUAGAACGAUCUAAAGAAUGUGGCCUCUUUUUUUGUUUGAAAUUUUAAAGUCUCGACGUUCUCGUUCUUAGGGUUUUAGAUAGGGUUCUUGCGGAGGUCUUGAUGGCGCUGGGGAGAGCGCUCGCCUCCGCCGCGAGGAAAGCUGCUGCCGAUUCCAUUCCAAGAUCCUACAUUGCGUCUCGAUCGGUGACAAGGUGUAGAUAUUUCGUGUUGUUUUCGAUUCCAUAGCCUGAGUCUCGCAGAUUUCGAGCUGCUGCCUCCGCCGCGGCGCAUUUCUCCAUCCCUUUCCACAAUGCGACCGCGCAAGCUCGUUUGGUCGCGAGAUUGAGCGCUGGAGGGAAUUUCACUUCGUUUGCGUUGUUUCAAGGUACGUGAAAUCGUGAAAUUUUUUUCUUGUUUUCCUGAGCAUUCAUGCAUGGGAGUUCGUAUGUGGAAUUUUUUUCCAAAUCUUCUAUGUUCAUGCCAAAGUAUUUGUGUGUGUGUUCGUGUGUGUAGAUGAUGAAGGCACAUAGUGAUGUUUCCAGCGCCCCUAAAUGACACUGCAAUUUUUUUUACCUGCUUAGAUGAUCUUGAUGACACCUGAUGGUGCGGCUGCCUUGACGAAUUGUUCUUGAUUGCUGGAGAGGCUAUAGCUGCUUUUCAUCUUUCAUUUCUCUUCUCGUUUUGAAAAAUCUCUCACUUUUUCGGCUCUCAUGAUCGCGGUGUGUUGUUAGAACUCGGCUCAGCGCAGCCUCGAUGAUUCCCGGGGUGAGUAAGCCAUCGCGUCAUUUUGUCCAAAGAUGACUCUUAAACGUUUUUGAAAUUCAAGCUGAGAUUGUUUCAUUAAGGUUCGCUAUUCAUUCAUUGGGUUUUACUUUGCACAAGUUGGGCCCGUCUGGAAUGGUUCUUCACUUUCACUGUAGGCACAAAUGGUGAAAGCCAAUACUGAGGAGCAGCUAUGGCAGCUAUUCUUUGAAGACCCAUCUUCCUGGUGGGACAAUAGAACUGUGAAGGUACUUCUUGGUUCUAUCUCAUAAGUACUGAAUAGAUAUCUUCUGUCUCUUUUCCUUUUCCAGAGUAAUCCGAGAUUUCCAGACUUCAAGCAUGCAACAAGCGGAGCUAGUCUCUGGAUCAAUUCCCGGACUCCCAAAUGGGUGGCACCAAAACUGUCGACUCUGACUCAGACAUCGUGCAGUGAAGUUCAGUUCCGAAAAUCAUGUGUUGGAAGCUCGGUGAGGAAGAAAGAAGUUGGCAAGCACUCGCUGGCGGCAUAUCUCAAAUUGCUAGACGAUGGAGUAAAGCCGGCUACUGGGUCAAUCCUCGCUGCGUUGAAGGUCUGUAGCAGCUCACGAGAUCUCCAAGCGGGUAAGAAGAUUCAUAAGGACGUAGUUGACAGUGGUGAACUCUCCAACAUAUUCAUCUCUAACACUUUGAUUGACAUGUAUGCAAAGUGCGGGAGCAUGGCUGAGGCUCGGCAGCUGUUCGACAGCAUGAAGCACCGCGACGUAGUUUCAUGGACUGCAAUUGUCCAGGGAUAUGCAAACUCUGGGGAAGGGGAACUGGCUCUCAAGCUUUAUUCAAGAAUGCAAGAGGAGGGCCACAAAUCCAACAGAGUCAGCAUCCUGGCUGCGCUGAAAGCGUGUGCUAGUCUGGCAGAGAAAGAGGACAAUGAACUUCUCGGUGGCAAACAUCUCAAGGUGAAGUGCCUGGGAAGGGUCAGAGCUUUACACUCUCAAGUAACUGGCAACGAGGCCGAGCUGGACCUUUUCGUGGCGAACAGUCUGAUCGAUGUUUACUCGAAGUGUGGGAGCAUGGCAGAUGCUCAACAGGUUUUCGACAAAAUCCUGCAUCACAGUGUGGUCUCCUGGAACAGCCUUAUUCAAGGUUAUGCCGAAAGCGGACAGGGUGAACAGGCACUAGAGUGUUACGAACUUAUGCAACGUAGAGGCUUCAAAGCGGAUACAGUGACACUCGUAGCAGCGUUGAAGGCCUGUGCUUGUUUGGCAGAAGGAGAAGAGAGAAAUGGGAAGUUUGUCAACCUCCACAGAGUGAGAGCCAUUCACACUCUAGCGGCUAGCAACUGUUUGGUGGACGUUGUCCUGGCGAAUACUCUUGUUGAUUCUUAUGCGAAGUGUGGGAGCAUGGUGGAUGCUCGUCAAGUUUUUGAGAAAAUGGAGCAGCAUACCGUGGUUUCGUGGACAGUACUCAUUCUCGGGUAUGCUCAGAACGGGGAAGGCGAAGUGGCACUGGAACUUUAUGCUCGUAUGAAAGACGAAGGUUGUGCAGCCAACCUCGUGACAAUCCUGGCUGCUCUCAAAGCAUGCACAGGUGUUGCUGAGAAAGCGUUCUCUUCAGGAACAGUUGCCAGGACGGAGUGCAUUUGGAAAGGCAAGAGUAUCCAUGCUGAAGCUGCCAGAAUUAGCGUGGAGAUGAACCAGUCUGUGGCGAACACUCUGGUCGACAUGUACGCGAAAUGUGGCAGCUUGGAAGAUGCUCUUCGAGUUUUCCAGUUUAUGAGGCGUCACGACGUUGUCUCCUGGAACUGUCUCAUACUUGGUUUUGCCAAGUGUGGCAACGGAGACGCGGCUCUUGAGAUGUUCUCGUGCAUGAGGGACGAAGAUCAUCCUCCGGAUCGCAUUACUUUUAUUGCUGCUUUGAAGGCCUGUGCGAGCUCUGCUGAACAAGAAGAAGCCAAGCUCGUCGACGGGAGAGCUGUGAAGCAAGAGUGCUUACAACGAGGCAGGGCUAUUCAUAAGAGAGCUGCAGAGAGCCUGGACAUACUGGAUCCGGCAAUGCUCAACACGCUGGUGGACACGUACGCGAAGUGCGGAAGCAUGGGGGAUGCUCGGCAGGUGUUCGAGAGUAUGCAGGAAAGGAGCGUUGUUUCUUGGAACUGCAUAAUUCUGGGAUAUGCACAGGCAGGAGAGUCCGAGAUUGCUCUACAGCUUUAUGCAAAGAUGAGAGACGACGAAAACUCGUGUUUGCCAGACGCCGUGACUUUCACAGGUGCUUUCAAGGCUUGUGGUGCGCUGGGGGCGCUGGAAACAGGGAAGCAGAUCGAAGCCGACGUUCGUAGUGCCGGACUUGACACUGACACUAUGGUGCUGAACUCUCUCCUCGACUUUUACUGUAAGUGUGGGAGCAUGCUCGAGGCCGAGCGGGUGUUUAGCUCCGUUUCUGCGAAGACGCAAGUUACGUGGGCUGCACUGAUGGCUGGCUACAGCUCCAUCGGACAGACGCAGCGCGUUUUUCAGCUGUUCGAGGACAUGCAGCGGCAUCGAGUUCAACCUGACCAUGUUACGUUCCUCACACUUCUCAGCGCGUGCAGCCACGCGGGGCUUGUGGACAAGGGAAAGGAGUACUUCCAGGCAAUGAGCUCCAACAAGUUUGGAAUAAGUCCAAGCCGGCAGCAUUACUCGUGCAUGGUGGAUAUGUUGGGCCGGGCAAACCAGCUGGAUGAGGCCGUGACCAUGAUCCAGAGCAUGCCGGGCAAAGCAGACGUGGUGAUAUGGAUGGUGCUUUUGGCCGCUGCUGAGAAGUGGAAGAACGUGGAUGCUGGGAGGCUGGCUUUCGAGUCACUCAUGAAACUAGAUGCGAAGAAUGCGACGGCUUAUGUGCUAAUGUCCAACAUCUAUGCCGGUGCUGGAAUGCUCGAGGAACUGGUCCAGAUACAAGACAUGUACAGGCAAAGUCACCACUAGCGACCAAUGACGUUCCGGCUUACUUCCUUCGCCUACGAGGACCUUUUUCUUCGGAAUCAGACUCGACUUCCUUGACCAGCUGCUGCUUGUUCUCGUUCUCCUCCAUUCUCAGCUUCCGGAGAUCGCCUUCGAUGGUUCCUUCUUCCGGAAUCGACCUCGACUUAAGCAUUGCUACCACCUCAUGCAUCGUUGGCCGGUGCUCUGGCAAGUUCUGUGCGCACAAGGCGGCAACCUGGAUCAUCCUCGUCAGCUCUUCUCCGUCAUACUUCCCCUCCAGCUUGGGAUCCGCGAGCUCGUCGAAUCUUCGCUCCAUCACCAGCGGUGCGGCCCACUGGAUGAUGCUCCGCUUCUUGCCGGGACCAAUCUUCUCGAUCGGCUUUCUACCCGUCACCAGCUCCAGCAGCAGGAUUCCAAAGCUGUAGACGUCGCAGCUCUCCGAGACUUUCCCCCACAUUGCGUACUCAGGUGCUAGAUAUCCCAGCGUGCCUUUGACGCGGGUGGUGAGAUGAGUGACGCCGUCAGGGAUGAACUUGGCGAAGCCGAAGUCGGCAACCUGAGCUUGGAAGUUCGAGUCGAUGAGUAUGUUGCUGGCUUUCACAUCUCGGUGUAUGAUAUGUGGAUUGGCAGUGUGAUGCAAGUACCUGAGAGAGCCACACAGGAGAGAAGAAAAGAAGGUAUGCACGAAGCUGUAAGAGGUUUGAAAGAAACUUACGCUAAUCCUUCUGCAGAACCGAUGGCGAUUUCCACUCGCUUCCUCCAGUCGAGGAGCUUGUCCGACGAGAAGUGACCGUGGAGGUGCGACAGAAGGCUCAGGUUUGGCAUAUAGUCGUAGACGAUCAAUCUCUCCUCGCCCUCAGCGCAGUAGCCACGCAGCUUUAGCAGGUUUUUGUGAUGCAGCCGUCCCAACGUCUCAACUUCCACUGCGAAUGACAUCUCGUUGGUGGUGUUCAUCACUUUGAGCCUCUUGACGGCGAUCUGGAAACAUGAGGUAGGGAGAGAGACUCAAGGCUCUUCUUUUGCUGCUAAUCAAAGUUUUAUUUUUUCACCUCAGAUUUGUCGCCAAGCUGGCCGUAGAAGACGCUCCCAAAGCCCCCCUCGCCGAGCUUAUUCUCAUAGCUGAAGUUGUUCGUGGCGAAUUGCAGCUCCUUCAAGCUAAAAAUCUUCCACGUCCUGGCGCUCUCGUCGUCGUCCCUGGACAAAAGCCCCUCACGGGUAUGAAUUCUGCUGGCCGGCACAGAAUCAAUCAAUCCCUUUACUCACUUCAUACUCCUUCCAGCGUAGCAGCAUCCGGAGCUCAGCCUUUUGGUUACCCAAGACAUAUUCAUUCGCAACUUCAUCACUCGCUUGCAACGACUGAUGCUGAUGAUCAUAUCCAUCGUCUCCUCGCCGUCAUCACCAUCGCAACAGAAGAUGAGAGCCAAGUCAAUACAGCGCUUUGUGCAUAGUGCAACAUACCAAGGGCCACAGCUGGCCGGGUGCUACACAAGGAACAGUCGAGCGAACGCUAUGAGCUCUACCACCAUUAAACUAAUCGGAUACUUCCAAGGAACAGGUUUGCUAAGACCGAUGCUUUGUUUUGUGUCGCUUUUGAUUGUUCCCCUGGAUCUCACCACCGCUUUCGUGCAGUAUUCUCGCUUCUUUUCUGGCCAAGGAUGUGCAUAAAACAUCCAGGGGGAGCUCGUCGCAGGAUCAGCGAAAGAAAUAUAGAGCGCGGACAAAACUUUUGGUAAUUUAGCGGCGCUUAGACGAUCUUAACAGGAUCGAACACGUCCUUCCUGUCCUCGACCCAGGGAUCUCGCAGGUACGCAGUGGCAAAGUUGCAAUCUAGAAAAUCUAGAAGACGAAGACUCUCUUCGUCGAGUUUCUUCCUUGCAAGUUUGGAAAAGCUACUUGAUCCUCUGCGUUGAUGGGUUUGGUGUUCUCUUCUCUCAAGGUAAUGCUCUUUAUAUCUUUUAGAGUGUUCUUCUAUUGUAUCUUUCAAAUACAGAUGGAAGAAAACAAGUAAAGCUAAAACAAAAGACUUAAAAAAAGAUGAGUUAUUAGAACAAUUUCUCUACAAAUAUUCAAUACACAAACCAGAAAAAAAAUUCAUUCACCCUCAGAAUUGAGAAUCGGUCUCACCAGAGGAUGCAUUUGUGCCAUGUACACAAUAGCCCACCUAGAAAAAAAAAAAAAACCAAAGCUCCCAUCCAGAAUGAAAAAAAAAAAAAGAGAGAGAGAAAGGCAAGAAGAACUUACAAGAGCCAGCAGCAAAUUGCAGCAACAAUCACCAAUGUGAUGUGUAACCUAGGUGGGAGUGUGAGUGAGAUUUUGGCCAAGAGGUUCCAAUCUAGAAAUCUUCUUACAGAUUUGCGGAAGGCCCCUUGUUGAAGAGGACGCGGACACUCACAGAUCCGAGCAGCGCCGCAACGAGGAAGACAAGGCUCGUCUCCGCGAAAUUCAUCCUGCAAGAUAGGGAAUAGAACAAACCCUAAAAUGUAAGCUUUUGUCUUUGUCUCACUUCGUUUGAAUUCGUUUGACUUUGCACGCCAUUUUAGAAAACCUGUAGUGCACAAAACUCACUACGUACUAGUCUAUAAACUCACUUCAGGGUCAAACUCAGGGUUCACUUCCAUAUCUUCAUUUAAUACCAUUUCUUCCUUUUCUUCUUCUUCUUCUCUACAAGAGGGUGACGCAGUGGAGGAAGUGCUCAUUUGAACAGUCUUCCCAUAGGAAGUUAUUGUGGCUCUUGGUUUCAUAUGACUUAUGUGAACUGGGAUGUUGUUUGAUAUUGCUCAAAAUGCAGACUUGGAAUGGUGGGACUAUUUAAAAGCACAAAACGCUAUUAUAUUUGGUGUCUAAUAUGUUUUUUUUUUUUGGACAAAACUCAAGCAACAGAUGUAACUCUCCAACAGGAUACAAAAGUCAAUGAAAGCUAUCCGUUGCUUCUUGUGUCUGCAACCACAGUCCACACUCUUCUCUCCAUCAAACAGCUCUCUUGCCGCCUUUUCCCCCUUGGGAUGACAAUAGCAGCGACUGUUAUUACAAAGACCACCACAACGUUUUCAGUCACAUAGUAAACAUAGGCUCCAAUGCGAUUGAACUCUCUCCAGAUGAACAGUACCCUUCAAUACGUUGUCUCGUCAGUUUCCCCGAGAAGAUGUCCACCGCGUCAAGAUCCGCAACCACGUCCACACACGGGAGCCUGGGCUUCAGCAACUUCAAAACCGAGAGAGUAGCACUCAUCGCAUUCCAACCAACGCGUGACAGGUUGUCGUCCUUGGCAAUAACCUGCAUGAAUUCACCAACAAAUCUUUAUGGAGUGAUAAAUCUUGCGCGCCCAACCCCGAGGACAUAGCAAUGCAAAGAAGGUGUAACAUACUUAGCCUCACCGACUCGAUAGAAAACUUUGCCGUCAAGAGCAUCUGAAAGUGGCUGGAUUUCUCCUCCUGCCAUAGCAGAAAGAAGGCUACGCAUCUUGACAGCACGGAUAUAUUUGAACAAGUUGUUUCCCAAGCGGGCGAUGGAAGCCCUCAGGCAUGUCCUCCUGGUAAGGUACAGCUUGACAAGCCUUGGUACCCAUCCAGUUCUUUUGCAGAUUUUACGUGCCACCGCGAGAGGCAACCUUGCAAACUUCGUCUUCCUAAAGCCAAGGUUUUAGAGAUUGUUAGCAUGAAGGCAAACUUACAGUGAAUCCUCCAGCUCCAACGAGAUAGGCUGCUGCGUCUUUAAGUAACCUGCUUCGAGCGGACGCACAAAUGAUACUUACACGUUCCUUCUCUAGAGUUUUAGAAGGAAGCGGAAGGCAGCUUCUUUCUCACGCCCCGUUUCAUCUGUGUCGCCGUCUUCUCCGUCCAAAGCAUUACCGUCGUCGAGGAUAAUGGUCACCGUCUCAGUCCUACGGACCAAAAAUCUAGUAAACUCUCUCUCGUUCGAGCAAUCCAUGUCGUCAAAGCUUCCGGAUCUUUGAGGUAAGCCAUGACCAGUCCCGUGAAUAGCACGUCAAAAUCGUCACCCCACAGUAACAAGAAGCGUUGGCUUGAAACAUCGAGCUUCCUGCCGAAGUGGAGAAAGAAAAACUUAGCAACAACAACAGAGAAAAUGCAGCUCAUUACUUCUUGCCCUUCUUGUCCUCCGUUGGUGAUGAAGAUUCUUCAAUGGCCUUGAUGCUUCAAAGAUACAAGUAACGUACCGCAGUGUUGAGGUUGACAGUCGGGGUGAAGACACUCUAGUAUAAAAGAGGUGGAGUAGUGAGCCUGAAAGAAUGGUGCUUGCAUCCUUCGAGUUGACUCGCUGACCCUUGACCACUUGACCGCCCUGGUGACCGGAUAGCGCUGGGCGCCCAAGGAGGCCCGAUAAUCUUUUAUCACAGAGGACUAUGGUGGAUCACCUUGGAUCUAAGAACGAAGCUCUAGCAUCGAAAAAACAAGAUAAAUCAAGUCGCUCGAGCUAUACUGCAAAAAAGCAAAGAAAGAAAAAGACGAGGAGUCUCUUCUUCGAUCACAGCACCUCGUCCUCCUCUUUUCUCUCCUUCCUGGCCAACAAUUGCGCGUUGAGGAUCUCGUUCCACACGUCUGGAACACCCGGCAAGCACCAGUGCAAGCAGUCCUGGAUCCCCGGCCUGGCAUUCGCAGUGAAUCGCGAGAGGUGAGCUUCUCCCCGGAACUGCGACAGGUGCGUGAUGUUCAACAGCUCCACCCUGGUGUUGGCCACCGCUUCCUCGGACAGCACGUCCCUCGACGGCCUGUUUGAGACGUCCACCCCGAAAGCUUUGAUGUUGUCGCAGCGCCCACCCGAGUUCCAGUCCCCGUUCAUGAAGUGCCUGGGCGAGAGAGCCGUGAGAACGCCUCGGAGCUCCGGCCUAGCACCGAUCUGCCUGUCCAGCCACCUCACCACCUUCUUCACCGCAAACUGGUGCGAGUAGCUCACCGAUGCGAAGCGGGAGCCUUUGAGCGCCACCUUCUUCCCACCAACGUACAUCUCCCACUUGUUCCCGUUUAUCUUCCCCGAGUUCCAGUGGUGUCCCGUGUUGAGGAUCACCAGAUCCAUCCGAGCUACGUUCCUCUUGAGGAAAUCCACCGGCCUGUCCAGAUGCAUCGCCGCAGCCGAGCUCGGAUCGGUCACGUUGUAGAGCUUGAUCUUGCAGAGACUAGCCGACCAGUAGAAGAGGAUGGUGGUGUUCGUUUCCGUGAACCUGUAUGCCCAGCCAUUUGGUCGGAGAGACCAUGUAGGCCGCUUGUCGAAACCAUACUCCUGUCCAGCAUCGGUCGCUACCAUGUCGUCUUUGCCUCGCGUUAUCAUGCACAAAAGUGACUGAAACUGUUGCCGGCCCAGAGAAUCCCCCACGAAAGCGAUUGUUUUGUUCUUCCAUCUGUUAUCGGAUGAUGUUUAUUAUUAGUAGAAGAACACACUUAGAGAAGCAUUUUUACCUUGAGAGAAAAGCCCGGCCAUCAAAAGGCGGAAGAUCACAUCCUUGAGGUUGCCAUCUAUACUUCUCGUAAUCGAAGUCCUUCCUUCCCUGCACCUUGCAGGCCCACAUCGAGGAAAGAAACUGCGAGCACAUUUCGCCCGAGUAAAGUGGUCUGUUCGAGUCGUUCAACCAUUUUCCCUUUGAGUAAUCACACUGUGGAACUGAAACAAUGAAUAGUUUAGAGACAAGAUGAAAGAAAAACAAAUUAAGUAGUUCAGUACCUUGCUUGUAAACUUCCCUAACAGGAGACGCUUUCCUUGUAGCAAGCUCUGGGAAAAAGUAAACAGCCAAACUUUAGAAAAAGAAACAAUCGCUAGAACCGAAAACAUUCUAUAAGAUCUAGGAGGGUUUUUUUUUUUGUUUUGUUUUGCGGUUCUAGAUUUUUAAAUUCGAGGUAGAGAGAUUUGCUCGACCUGAAACCGUGCUAUUUAGCAACUCCAUGAUGCUGCCAUCGUGCGAGACAGCAAUCGAUUUGGAGAAUCUAGAUAGAUCGAGUGCCCCCGCAAACAAAGCUACAUUCAUGAAUGCCAGUAAAGGAAAAAAAUCUAAAGAAUGCUCAGCCUAGAAUCCAAAAAGCUGGACAAAACGUACCAAGUUCCAGGCGAAGCCCCGGCCCCCAUGCUCUCGAUCCGAGCACACUCGCUGCCGGCGAUCCCUCCCACCCGAAAACCACGAUGAAUCCACACAGCACCGCGAGCAUGAGGACAAGCGCGCGCCUCGCUCGCAUCCCAUACAAGAUCGCUCCUCCUCCGCCGCCUCCUCCCGCCUUGAAAUGCUGAUCGGAAUCCCUCUUUCUCAGCUUCUCGCCCGGGAUCAGCACCAUGAUCGCCAAGAACCUCAUCGCUGCCGAUAAUCCGCCAUCGCUUGCGCGAAAUCUUCGCCCGCGCCACAAACCCUAGCUACGACAACAAAGAAGCCCAGACCCAAGGCAAACCAACGCAACAACUGAAGCUCAUGAGACAGGUAAACCAUCAAUAUUUUUACUCGCUACGCGUUCCAGCCAUUAACUGUAGAACGGUAAGAUUUUGCAAUCACGUACUAUACGAAUAUUCUCUGCCACCUGUUUCCUAACGGCCGGAUUCGUAGGGUAAAAUGGAAAUAUCCAUACGAAUAUUCAUUCUACCUGUCGUGUAACGGCCGGUUACCGGUUCAGCCGGUUUGCGCGAGGCAUAUUCUAAUGCCGUGUUCUUCGCGUUUAGGGUUUUGUUUCGAGGGGGCGAUGGAGAGGAGGGAUUCGCUGCUGGUCAUGGCGCUGAUUUUUGUACUGUGCUUCGUCGUCAUGGCAGUGCGUAUGCCAGUUCCUCCUUCAUCGGUCACAGGUUUGUGGAUCUUGCUCGAUAUUUCGCGGAAUUUUUUUGAUUUUGCUAGUGCUAGACGGCGCCGAGGCCAGGAGCGAUGUUACCAGGAGCCACAUCUUAGCUGAGAUGGAGAAAUUGCGGAUCCAGGGCAAGAAGUACACGCCGCGAUACUACAAGCCGGGCGCAUUCGCUGCUAAUGCCGCCAGUGGCAAGCAAGGGAUCCGGCGACGCAAAUCUUCUUCUUCUCCAGCAGAAUAAAAUUCCGGGUGAGCCGAUCGCCUGCAUUGCACCAUCGUGUAGAUAUAUGACCGCUGCAUCCAUGUAUAAUAUUUUUCUUUCUAAGUCUUUGAUGGAGGAUUGGUGACACCGAUCUUCUCACUUUUGGAUUCUCUUUAGAAAUUUUUGCUAGGAUAGGUAGGGUGCAUCUCUUUCACUGCGAGCUUCCUAGCGCUUGCCGUGAUUCUUUUCUAGUGAAAGAGUACAAGCAUUUUCUACUGCCUGUCAUCUUCAAGCUGCUACAGGCACAGCCAUCACUGACUCGUUUUCCAGCGCUGGCCUUUUCACGACUUUGGCAGAAGACCAGAGAUCAAGGAUCACGUACAGGGGACUACCGACCAAGAGUACUGCGAGCUGGAUCCAGACUUGAAGUGCGAUC